GUGGGGAAUAUUGGGCAAUGGGCGCAAGCCUGACCCAGCAACGCCGCGUGAGGGAAGAAGGCUUUCGGGUUGUAAACCUCUGUCCUUGGUGACGAAAAAAAUGACGGUAGCCAAGGAGGAAGCCCCGGCUAACUACGUGCCAGCAGCCGCGGUAAUACGUAGGGGGCGAGCGUUGUCCGGAAUUACUGGGCGUAAAGGGUGCGUAGGUGGCCUUUUAAGUUGGAUGUGAAAUCCCCGGGCUUAACUUGGGUGGUGCAUCUAAUACUGGAGGGCUAGAGGGCAGGAGAGGGAAGCGGAAUUCCUAGUGUAGCGGUGAAAUGCGUAGAUAUUAGGAGGAACACCAGUGGCGAAGGCGGCUUUCUGGACUGUAACUGACACUGAGGCACGAAAGCGUGGGGAGCAAACAGGAUUAGAAACCCGUGUAGUCC
This 428-nucleotide ribosomal RNA is filed under the name uncultured bacterium. RNAcentral describes it as "partial 16S ribosomal RNA". It matches the Rfam family "Bacterial small subunit ribosomal RNA", at positions 354 to 796 of the family's 1533-position model. The record is from RNAcentral.